Molecule: ribosomal RNA, 435 nt
Filed under: uncultured bacterium
Lineage: Bacteria
Description: partial 16S ribosomal RNA
Rfam family: Bacterial small subunit ribosomal RNA
Source: RNAcentral
AGCGAACGCUGGCGGCAGGCUUAACACAUGCAAGUCGAGCGGGCACUUUCGGGUGUCAGCGGCGGACGGGUGAGUAACGCGUGGGAACGUGCCCUCUGGUUCGGAAUAACUCAGGGAAACUUGAGCUAAUACCGGAUACGCCCUUUUGGGGAAAGGCUUGCUGCCGGAGGAUCGGCCCGCGUCUGAUUAGCUAGUUGGUGAGGUAACGGCUCACCAAGGCGACGAUCAGUAGCUGGUCUGAGAGGAUGAUCAGCCACACUGGGACUGAGACACGGCCCUGACUCCUACGGGAGGCAGCAGUGGGGAAUAUUGGACAAUGGGCGCAAGCCUGAUCCAGCCAUGCCGCGUGAGCGAUGAAGGCCUUAGGGUUGUAAAGCUCUUUUAUCCGGGACGAUAAUGACGGUACCGGAGGAAUAAGCCCCGGCUAACUUCGUG